RNAcentral lists this transfer RNA (66 nucleotides) under Metorchis bilis. RNAcentral describes it as "tRNA-Ser". The record is from RNAcentral. Lineage: Eukaryota; Metazoa; Platyhelminthes; Trematoda; Opisthorchiida; Opisthorchiidae.
GUAGUAUGGUGGUUGCCUGUAAUUGAUUUGAAGUCAUUUUUUUCUUCCGGCGGGGAGAUACUUGCU